Hemibagrus wyckioides is the source of this 781-nucleotide long non-coding RNA. RefSeq lists it as uncharacterized. The record is from RefSeq and is a predicted model, not a curated record. NCBI's taxonomy places the organism in Eukaryota, Metazoa, Chordata, Actinopteri, Siluriformes, Bagridae. The transcript is spliced from 4 exons.
GUCAGAGAGAGAGAGAGAGAGAGAGAGGGAGAGGGAGAGAGAGCAUGAAAAGAACUAAAAACGUGUUUGGCUAGUCUGUACAAAAACUGUUGAAACAUGUAGCAGACAGUGAGUCCCUGGCAUUCACACCCAUCCUCUAAAUACAACAAUCAGUCGGAUGUCUUGGCAUCUGCAGCAUGAGACAAACCAGGAAAAUAUCCUCUGCAGUCAGACGGCAAGUUUUAAAGGGGAGGAGACUGACAUCGUGGCCACACCCUCUGUCUGAGAGGACUGGGUGGGGCCAGAACCUGCCUUUCUAGCAAAUCCGCUGGCAAUAUCCUCAAAGGUCCGACCUUUAGUCUCAGGAACCCAGAAGUAGGUAAAUAGGAAGAAGAGCACGAGAAGAACGAGGAAAAUGAUGAAGACGUAUGGUCCACAUGCACUCUGGAGAGAGGAAAGAAAGGUUACACCUGAAGUCUAUCCCAGGGAACUCAGGACACAAGGUGAGGGACACCCUGGACACCCUGCCAUCCCAUUGCAGGGCACAAUAGCACACAUGGACAAUUUACAGAUGCCAAUCAGCCUACAGCACACAUUACUGGAUUGGGGAGGAAACUGGAAAACCCAGAGGAUACGCAUGGCAUGAAACCCCCAACCCUAGAGGUAAGAAAAUGACUCGACACUCACGGCAUUGAUUCCAGAGAGCUGCUGUGAGAGGUUCAUGACAAUGGCAAUGAUGAUAGGCUGCCGGUAAAUGGGGUUACUAAACAGCUCCAGGAUGGACACUUUUUUUUCCAUGGCC